Molecule: ribosomal RNA, 868 nt
Filed under: Escherichia coli
Lineage: Bacteria; Pseudomonadati; Pseudomonadota; Gammaproteobacteria; Enterobacterales; Enterobacteriaceae
Description: partial 23S ribosomal RNA
Rfam family: Bacterial large subunit ribosomal RNA
Source: RNAcentral
CCGGUAAACGGCGGCCGUAACUAUAACGGUCCUAAGGUAGCGAAAUUCCUUGUCGGGUAAGUUCCGACCUGCACGAAUGGCGUAAUGAUGGCCAGGCUGUCUCCACCCGAGACUCAGUGAAAUUGAACUCGCUGUGAAGAUGCAGUGUACCCGCGGCAAGACGGAAAGACCCCGUGAACCUUUACUAUAGCUUGACACUGAACAUUGAGCCUUGAUGUGUAGGAUAGGUGGGAGGCUUUGAAGUGUGGACGCCAGUCUGCAUGGAGCCGACCUUGAAAUACCACCCUUUAAUGUUUGAUGUUCUAACGUUGACCCGUAAUCCGGGUUGCGGACAGUGUCUGGUGGGUAGUUUGACUGGGGCGGUCUCCUCCUAAAGAGUAACGGAGGAGCACGAAGGUUGGCUAAUCCUGGUCGGACAUCAGGAGGUUAGUGCAAUGGCAUAAGCCAGCUUGACUGCGAGCGUGACGGCGCGAGCAGGUGCGAAAGCAGGUCAUAGUGAUCCGGUGGUUCUGAAUGGAAGGGCCAUCGCUCAACGGAUAAAAGGUACUCCGGGGAUAACAGGCUGAUACCGCCCAAGAGUUCAUAUCGACGGCGGUGUUUGGCACCUCGAUGUCGGCUCAUCACAUCCUGGGGCUGAAGUAGGUCCCAAGGGUAUGGCUGUUCGCCAUUUAAAGUGGUACGCGAGCUGGGUUUAGAACGUCGUGAGACAGUUCGGUCCCUAUCUGCCGUGGGCGCUGGAGAACUGAGGGGGGCUGCUCCUAGUACGAGAGGACCGGAGUGGACGCAUCACUGGUGUUCGGGUUGUCAUGCCAAUGGCACUGCCCGGUAGCUAAAUGCGGAAGAGAUAAGUGCUGAAAGCAUCUAAGCA